Molecule: long non-coding RNA, 2919 nt
Organism: Strigops habroptila (Kakapo)
Lineage: Eukaryota; Metazoa; Chordata; Aves; Psittaciformes; Psittacidae
Exons: 2
Source: RefSeq, a predicted model, not a curated record
CCGUGCUGUGCCGGGGAAGCCACACUCUGGAGCAGGGCUCUGAUCAGUUCAGUAGCUGCAGAUCUUGUGGCAUUGGUUUUCAGGAGCACUCAGGUGACAGUCCCAGCGGCCAGGCCAAACUACUAGUGGGUUGGAGACAGAAGGCCACCAAACAGGUUUGAAGGGAUGAGGAAACAUUUAGGUCAUUUUUAUCCAGAGCUCGUCUGCUAUCUCUAGAUCUUGCCAAGUGGGCACGAUACCAGGAACAGGAGUUUCAGUGAGAUUACACCAAAUGCAACACAUCUGAAUGUACAUGGCACGAUGGAGAUGCAGGCAGUUUUAAGGGAAGGGAGCCAAACUGGUGACCCAGCUAGUCUGGUGGAAACUAAACUCACUGUUUGGAGAUCAGCUUGUCUGCAUGGAGCAAGUGGGUCGUCUCCAAUAGCCACCCAUGUGGGGUCUGCCCAAGCUGCACUAACGGGGAAGACUACAGGGAUGCUGGAAAGGUCUGAACUGGUCUUCACAGGGUAGAUCAAGGGCUGCACACAGGUUUUGAAGUGAAAGAGAUCCAAUUAAACUCCUAGAUUCUCUAGAACACUGUGUUUUCGAGGGCAAAGUGGGGAUAUUUAUUUUUACUCCUUUUCCUUUCUUCUUCUGGCUGUGGAGCAAUGUGGGCUGUACACAGUGUAGGAUGUGAGCACAUACUGUACAUCUGAGGUGAGAUGAAACACAAAUAUGCCUUUUCAUAAUAACAUUUACACCUGGAAGAGAAGACCGGUUUAUUACCUUGGUAAACAAAAGUUAGAAUUCAAGCAAAGUACAAACUUUGCCCCAGGCGAUUCUGACAGCGCACCUUGUGUUUGUGAAGUGAACUCGGCUGCUAAUGUGCAGCAUGAAGCAACGGGCCCAUUUUCAACCCUCCCCCAUCCCAUCAUCUAUGGCCUAAAGUUUAAAAGUUAAUGUUUUUUUCUUAGAGGGGAUGCUUUGAGGUGCUGAGAUGCACCCGGCCACACCAGCCAAGGGGGCCUCUGUUGGUGGGGAGGGCUGUGUGUGGCAUAUCUCUGCUGUGCAUCAGUUUUCUCCCUUCGCAGAGAGGGUGAGGAUUACAAGAUGUGUAGAUUUAGCAAUAUGUGCUGUGCCAAACUGAGACUUGUGCUGCAGGCAUACGCUAAUGGGGAAGAAAUACCUAGAGUGCUUCCCUGCACAUGGUAGCAAGGCUGUGUUCCAGCCUAGUACCCAGGAGGACCAUGGACCUGGCUACACACCCCAUAGGGUGACAUAGCAGUGACUCUCAGACCUCUAACACUCCAGUGAUACAAGACCUGAACAAGGCUCUGGACCACUUGGAAACUGUCUUCUUAUGUGGAGGACACAUGACGCUAAGUCCAAAAGGCUCCUGGGAACCAAAUUGCACUCUGCAGCAAUGUGAUUAGCUCCCAUAUUGCACAAAUGAGCAAGCUCUGCCCAGAGCAGAGCAAGCUUCCCAGCUUGCUUUGUUGCAGUCCACACAAUCUGCCAGCUGGGCAGGGAGGAGGGGAAUCCAGAUAGAUCCGAGAGGAGCGGGAGCAGCAGGAUGUGUCUGGCACCAUGCUUCUAACCCAUCAAUCCUCAGCCAUUUUUCUCCAUGCCAGAAGAUGGUUCCUGGGCCAGGCAUAAGGCUGGCUCUGGGCUGGCCUGCUCUGUAUCCUCAUUAGGCAGCACCAUGUGCUAAGAGCAGAAAACUGCCAGCUUUGCCUGAAUAAAAGGAUGAACUUGUUGGGGUAAAAUUUACAACUGUCUCUAAACUUCUAGCUCAAAUAUUUGACUGAGCAAAAUCCCCAACAUUUUUUUGCAAGUUUGAGGAGUCCAUGUAAUUUCAUUCUGUUUUCACUGAUGCCUUUAUUUAAUUCUCGUAACAAAAGGGUAAACAAUUGGAGCCAAUCAGUAUCAGAAAGGCUUUCAGCUUCAGGAUCUGCAGCUCACAGGGAAGACUGGAUUUCUGGUGAGUGUUCUCUUGAAAAGUUUCUGAAGAAUCCCCACUCCUGUGGGGUGUUAUUUCCACAAAUUUAAAUCACCCUCUCUCGAUAUCCAAGGAGCUGGUGUGCCCAGGGUUGUAGUGAGGAUGGAGGCACGCCAAGACAGCGGAGCUCUGCCUGCUGCCUGGCAGAUGAUGGUGUCCCCCUGCAGUGGCAUCUGCUGACCCAGCUCUGGAGGUCAUUAGAAAGAUGCUGCGUUUCUCACCAGGCCAUGCAUUUUACUGCAGGCCACUGCCUGCCUUUUCUGGACUUAAACGCUUUCAUCACUCUGUAUGGGAGCCGUACUGCCAAGGGGAGCUGAGCCUUUGAAAAAUCUUGCCCUUUCCUAGACCGCAGUGUUUUUGCUGUUUGUUUUAUUUAGCUCUGUUGACCCCAGAAACCUCCAGGGUUACUUUAAGGAAACAAAACAUGUCUGUUGGCUAGAUGCAACCAAGCUAUGAAACACGACGGGUAUUUAUUCUCAGAGCCCCAUGUCUCCGGCAGUACGAACUUACUUCUUGUACCUUAUUCGAGCCCAGCUACUAGAGCAUGGCAUGCACAUUGCAACUUAUCUGUGCUGCAAUCUCUUUGGGCUACUCAGUGGGGACCUUCUUGCAUUAUGCUUUCAAGGGAAGAAACCAGGACCCUGGAUGGUGAAAAAAUGACUUCUGCAACCACAUUUUUUCUGAGUCAUUGACUGCUCUCUGUUUGCAUGAGGUGGAACAUCACCCUCCUAAAAGCAGUCACUGCCACAAAGGGAAAGACCCAUAAGCAGACCUUAGAAAAUAAUAUUGAAUUCAUUUGACAUAUUAAACCCAGCAGAGACUCGCAGCAAAGCAUCUGCAGGGAUAUGUUAGCAAAUGCCCUCUGCCUAGGUGAGGGGUUCCUGGAUGAAGUGCCUUAAAUCAAGGAAGUGGUGGAGGAGAUGACAGAGAAGAAAUGCUCA